UACGUAGGGGGCAAGCGUUGUCCGGAUUUAUUGGGCGUAAAGAGCGUGUAGGCGGCCGUACAGGUCAGCUGUGAAAACUCGAGGCUCAACCUCGAGACGUCGGUUGAAACCGUACGGCUAGAGUCCGGAAGAGGAGAGUGGAAUUCCCGGUGUAGCGGUGAAAUGCGCAGAUAUCGGGAAGAACACCCGUGGCGAAGGCGGCUCUCUGGGUCCCUACCGACGCUGGGGUGCGAAAGCAUGGGGAGCGAACAGGG
Molecule: ribosomal RNA, 254 nt
Filed under: uncultured bacterium
Lineage: Bacteria
Description: partial 16S ribosomal RNA
Rfam family: Bacterial small subunit ribosomal RNA
Source: RNAcentral